CCUACGGGCGGCAGCAGUGAGGAAUAUUGGUCAAUGGGCGUAAGCCUGAACCAGCCAAGUAGCGUGAAGGAUGACGGCCCUAUGGGUUGUAAACUUCUUUUAUAUGGGAAUAAAGUGCGGUAUGUGUACUGCUUUGCAUGUACCUUAUGAAUAAGGAUCGGCUAACUCCGUGCCAGCAGCCGCGGUAAUACGGAGGAUCCGAGCGUUAUCCGGAUUUAUUGGGUUUAAAGGGAGCGUAGGCGGGUUGUUAAGUCAGUGGUGAAAGUUUGGGGCUCAACCGUAGAAUUGCAGUUGAGACUGGGAGGCGUGAGUAUGGGAGAGGCAGGCGGGAUGCGUGGUGUAGCGGUGAAAUGCUUAGAUAGCACGAAGAACGCCGAGUGCGAAGGCAGCCUGCGGGGCCGUGACUGACGCUGAUGCGCGAAAGGGUGGGGAUCAAACAGGAUUAGAUACCCGUGUAGUG
RNAcentral lists this ribosomal RNA (460 nucleotides) under uncultured bacterium. Its description in RNAcentral is "partial 16S ribosomal RNA". It matches the Rfam family "Bacterial small subunit ribosomal RNA", at positions 338 to 795 of the family's 1533-position model. The record is from RNAcentral.